Small nucleolar RNA from Ornithorhynchus anatinus (platypus), 138 nucleotides. The record is from RefSeq and is a predicted model, not a curated record. Lineage: Eukaryota; Metazoa; Chordata; Mammalia; Monotremata; Ornithorhynchidae.
UACCUCUGAGGGUUCCUCCUGGAGACUUUCCAGUACUCUACCAGUCACGACUACAAGAGGGAGAAUGAAGCAGAGGCCUACCCAUUCCAUUCCUAGCUUGGGUAGUGGCUAGUGAGUGGAAGGCCAUCUGCUACAGGU